Triticum dicoccoides is the source of this 3495-nucleotide long non-coding RNA. RefSeq lists it as uncharacterized. NCBI's taxonomy places the organism in Eukaryota, Viridiplantae, Streptophyta, Magnoliopsida, Poales, Poaceae. The record is from RefSeq and is a predicted model, not a curated record. The transcript has 4 exons.
CUUCAACCAAGUUUGUUGUCUAUACUCCAAAACCAACUAGGGGUGGCACUAGAUGCACUUACAUGGAGCUUUGUGAUCCAAGACGAACAUGGCGAUGUUGUGGGAUCAAGAGUGGAUAGAAUGGAUCAUGUUCAGGAUACCUUGCAAGUGGAGGCGGAGGCAUGUAUCUCUACUCCUAAUGGAGAAGUUGGUAGUCUCCGCCGGUCAAUUUUCGUCCCACCAGAGAUGGUUAAUUUUCGUCCUCAAUCCCACCUCCCGCAAACCAGCCAUUCCCCCCUUCCACCCUCGAGACCGACAAAAAAACGGUAUGCUACCACGAGGCCCGUUGUGAAACACUACGGUUCAUCGAUAGAAAAUUGUCCUAAAAAAAUCUACUACGGUUAACCUACCAAAAUUAGCCAGACGCUUGCACCUACGAGCGAUUCCUCGUGCCCCUCGAUCCCCUCGAGACACAGGGCUCCUCUCCCGAGCGAGGUCCCGAUCCGCUCCUCCCCUCUCUCGAGGAUACGCAACCGCUGCCUUCGCCGAAUUCGCCGCUGUCGAUCUGCCGAUCCGGGCAGCGCAGCCGCCGCUACCGCCGUCGAUCUGCCUAUCCAGGCAGACGCGGCCGUCAUGGAUCACGAGAACGCCGGCGCCGCCGGCGCCUCGAAUACGUCACCCCGCUCGGCAUGGAUGGCCGCCCCAAGACAUGGAUAAGCUCUCGUGAUCCCCACCCCACCCCUCUCAUCCCCUGAAUCCAUAUCCUCCUUCCCGUCUUGAUCCCGCCCAUGAUCUGAUCAGGAAGCUGCCCACGAUCUGAUCCCCUGGUUUCUUAUCCGGUUAUCCUCCUCUCUUCUCUCGCACGGGCGUUCUAGCAACCCCCAUCUUCGGUGUGGCAACGUUGCUGACGUCGUCGCGGCCUCCCGCAAUUCCAGGCUUGGCCUUCCUCAACUCCAUGUGCGGCUGACGAGGUGGUCUUCUCCAGAGGUGGUCUGCUCGUGCUCUCCUGGUUCUUCCAUAACAACGAGGGGUAGUGCCGGUCGUGGCUCAGCAGGAUAGCAUAAGCUUGCCCUUGUUCUUUUGUGUUUGAAUCAGAUUUGUUGGUUCUUAGUUUUACAUGCACCUAUCAAUCUUUCUUCUGUAUGCAGGUUACACACCUGAUGAUGUUUACGGCGAGGCGCAAGAACAAGCAGAGGCCGAGGAAGUGUGGGCACGCGCGAGGAAGGUUCAGCGGGCUGCAGAAGUCGGGCCACGCCCGGAGCGCCGCGCCAACGCAUGUGUGCGUGGUCGGUGGGUUGGCCAAGAUCUGCAUUCUGCGACUUCGUCUUCACCAUGGACACAAGCAAGGACUGAUUCGUGGGUCUUGGUAGUGGUGCCGAGCAUCGGCGGAUCGAAGUGGUCGAAGUCGCGGUUAAUCGACCAGGACGAGACAUGCAUCUUGGAGCUAGCGCGGAGGGGGAAAGAAGCAGGUUGGUCUGGCCCGACCUCACAAAUGAAUUGGUAUGUCCAGUUCUUCCCAUGAAGGUCACAUGCCUAACUUCGUGCUAGACAUUGCUAACUCGGCCACUUGAUGUUAAACUCUGUAUGCAUACUUGACCUAGCUAACUCCAAGAUUCGAUGUGUUAAAUUAAAGUACCAAUCAGGCAGGUUCACCACUUUGUACGUGUGUGCUCUUGCAUUGCUUACUAGAUCUUGUUGUAUAUGAUGGUCCAUUGUCAGCUAUACAACUUCUGAAUUCUGUCAAGUUCAGUUCAGAUUUGAUUUUUUUUCACCUCUUUUUGCAUGGACAGUGUGUCUGGUGUUUAAAUGAUGGCUACUUGAAAUUCAUAGGCAUUGUGAGGUUAGAAAGGAUUCCUUUUUGACUAUUUUUUCAGUUUGGUUCAAAGUUGUUAGCUGCUACACCUACACGUGGAAAACGGCAUUCUAAAAUUGUAAAGUUGCUGGGGCAACAACCUGCUGCUGGCGGGGAAGCAAGUCGCCUUCUGGGGCGGGCGGGGUAACAACGGCAGGGACCAGCCCCUGUCCGUCUUUGGGAUCCCGAAGUACCAUUACAAGUAUGGCAACUACUCCUCCGUUGCAAUCCUGGUUGUAGUAUUAAGAUCACAUGAUCAAUGAAUUGUAAAUUUGAAAUAUAUCAGCUUGACUGUGUAAUGCAUUUGAUCUAAGGAUAGGAUAAGAUAUGCAAGCCAGGUCAUAGUCGUUUCUCCGUGCGUCAAUUAGAAUUCGUACGUUCAUGGCACCUCCAGAAAUGCAUGCAUGCAACUUAUACCAUGAUCUUAUUGUGAAUGUUAGUGUUGGUGUGAGUAGCCAGAAGCAAAGUAACAUUUUUCUGAUUGCUCCAUGUUAUUGUGUUGGUUGUUCUGGGAUCUACAGAAGGCUACCAAAAAGGUCACAACGAUUCUGUGCCAUGGAUCAUUUGGUCUUGUGUACAAGGCUAUAACGGCUACUGGUGAAGUCAUGGCGGAAAAGGUUCUUGCGACGCCGCUGCUACUUGGUGCCCGACGCACCCAAGGCAUCGGUUGCCGUCCCUGUUCUCCCGGUGGCCCUCUCGUCAUGCAUUCAAUUGGUCGAGUAGUUCGUCACAGCCGCUGAGGAACGGGACCAUAGCAAACCAUUGCAAUGCGGCAACCCAAAUUUCAAUUCCACGGUGUUCUGUGCGCAUCAGUAAGUUGUUUAUCUUGCUUUCACUUUCAAAUUCCUUGCUGAAUCACUACAAGCAUGUGUUCCUAUCUCCUACAUGUCUCUAAAUUCUAAGAUGUGAAAUUAUGAAUAUUUUUCUGUAAUAUAUUUCAUGGUUUUGUGGCUUAUGCCUUGCAAGAUUUUUGCCAAUGCGGAAGUGCACAAUCCUUUUGAAUUUAUAUAAUUUAUAUCCAUUCUAUUGAGGUGGAAUGUACCUUGCAGCUUAUCAUGUGUGGUGUAAAAGAGAAUGCAUGUAAGAUCAAACAAGCUUAUCAUCGCAGAGUCGCAUCUUGCAGAGUCUUUGACCAUAAUUGAUCUGAAGCUGCAUUUUGGCAAUUUUAUUUUAUAACUUAGUGGCUAUUAUUGUAUAAGACUGCUCACUUCUCUCGUAAGUUUGUUAGCUACCAUGAUCAUCUGUUGGUAUAGAUAAUUAUUUGGAUGACAUUACUUGACAACAAAAAUUAAUUUUAUGCAGCUAAGCACAUUGAGUCAUGUAUUUUUCCUCUUCAACAUAAGAACAAGAGGAGAAAAUAAUGGAUGGAGGAAGAAGAGUGAUUUUGUGGUACAAAAAUGUUGGCAAUGUUUCAUUAAACUAUGUCAUCUGAUGUGCUUGAUUCUUCCAUAGGUACAUGUUUGACAUACUUAAUGUUAAUAUUGAACCACCAGAAUAUAUUGCUACAUGAUGUAAUGAGAUGAGAUCUCAACGUCCAGACUGCGGUUGAUCCAUUAUGCACCAUGAAAAAUAUAAUAACUCUGAGGACCUUAUUGCCAGCGAGCCUCAUGGUGAAGUUCUUCUGCAAUGAUGCCGAGGAUUUGAUCUUGGCUUGCAUGGACCAA